This 69-nucleotide transfer RNA is filed under the name Marmota marmota marmota (Alpine marmot). It matches the Rfam family "tRNA". Rfam says of the family: Transfer RNA (tRNA) molecules are approximately 80 nucleotides in length. Their secondary structure includes four short double-helical elements and three loops (D, anti-codon, and T loops). RNAcentral also lists the same sequence under 1 other name. The record is from Rfam by way of RNAcentral. Lineage: Eukaryota; Metazoa; Chordata; Mammalia; Rodentia; Sciuridae.
GAGGUUGUGGCUCAGUGGUAGAGCACUUGCAUAACGUGCAAGGUAUUGGGUUCGAUUCUCAGCACCACA